GCCGGGUGCGGUGGCGCAUGCCUGUAGUCCCAGCUACUUGGGAGGCUGAGGUGGGAGGAUCCAGGAGUUCUGGGCUGUAGUGCACUAUCCAAUCGGGUGUCCACACUAAGUUCAGCAUCAAUAUGGUGACCUGCCGAGAGCAGGGACCACCAGGUGACCUAAGGAGGGGUGAACCAGCCCAGAUCGGAAACAGAGCAAGUCAAAACUCCUGUGCUGAUCAGUAGCGGGAUCACGCCUAUGAAUAGCCACUGCACUCCAGCCUGGGCAACAUAGUGAGACCCUAUCUCA
RNAcentral lists this signal recognition particle RNA (288 nucleotides) under Saimiri boliviensis boliviensis (Bolivian squirrel monkey). Its description in RNAcentral is "Metazoan signal recognition particle RNA (ENSSBOG00000012396.1)". It matches the Rfam family "Metazoan signal recognition particle RNA". From Rfam's summary of the family: The signal recognition particle (SRP) is a universally conserved ribonucleoprotein. It is involved in the co-translational targeting of proteins to membranes. Lineage: Eukaryota; Metazoa; Chordata; Mammalia; Primates; Cebidae. The record is from RNAcentral.